RNAcentral lists this ribosomal RNA (460 nucleotides) under uncultured bacterium. RNAcentral's name for it is "partial 16S ribosomal RNA". It matches the Rfam family "Bacterial small subunit ribosomal RNA", at positions 338 to 795 of the family's 1533-position model. The record is from RNAcentral.
CCUACGGGAGGCAGCAGUGAGGAAUAUUGGUCAAUGGGCGGGAGCCUGAACCAGCCAAGUCGCGUGAGGGACGACGGUCCUAUGGGUUGUAAACUUCUUUUAUAUGGGAAUAAAAUGUUCCACGUGUGGGAUUUUGUAUGUACCAUAUGAAUAAGGAUCGGCUAACUCCGUGCCAGCAGCCGCGGUAAUACGGAGGAUCCGAGCGUUAUCCGGAUUUAUUGGGUUUAAAGGGAGCGUAGGUGGAUUGUUAAGUCAGUUGUGAAAGUUUGCGGCUCAACCGUAAAAUUGCAGUUGAAACUGGCAGUCUUGAGUACAGUAGAGGUGGGCGGAAUUCGUGGUGUAGCGGUGAAAUGCUUAGAUAUCACGAAGAACUCCGAUUGCGAAGGCAGCUCACUGGACUGCAACUGACACUGAGGCUCGAAAGUGUGGGUAUCAAACAGGAUUAGAUACCCCUGUAGUC